Molecule: ribosomal RNA, 276 nt
Filed under: uncultured Pseudomonas sp.
Lineage: Bacteria; Pseudomonadati; Pseudomonadota; Gammaproteobacteria; Pseudomonadales; Pseudomonadaceae
Description: partial 16S ribosomal RNA
Rfam family: Bacterial small subunit ribosomal RNA
Source: RNAcentral
UCCUUAGUUUACCAGCACGUUAUGGUGGGCACUCUAAGGAGACUGCCGGUGACAAACCGGAGGAAGGUGGGGAUGACGUCAAGUCAUCAUGGCCCUUACGGCCUGGGCUACACACGUGCUACAAUGGUCGGUACAAAGGGUUGCCAAGCCGCGAGGUGGAGCUAAUCCCAUAAAACCGAUCGUAGUCCGGAUCGCAGUCUGCAACUCGACUGCGUGAAGUCGGAAUCGCUAGUAAUCGUGAAUCAGAAUGUCACGGUGAAUACGUUCCCGGGCCUU